This 497-nucleotide ribosomal RNA is filed under the name uncultured bacterium. RNAcentral describes it as "partial 16S ribosomal RNA". It matches the Rfam family "Bacterial small subunit ribosomal RNA", at positions 28 to 507 of the family's 1533-position model. The record is from RNAcentral.
GAUGAACGCUGGCGGCGUGCCUAAUACAUGCAAGUCGAGCGAACAGAUGAGGAGCUUGCUCCUCUGACGUUAGCGGCGGACGGGUGAGUAACACGUGGAUAACCUACCUAUAAGACUGGGAUAACUUCGGGAAACCGGAGCUAAUACCGGAUAAUAUAUUGAACCGCAUGGUUCAAUAUUGAAAGACGGUUUUGCUUUCACUUAUAGAUGGAUCCGCGCCGCAUUAGCUAGUUGGUAAGGUAACGGCUUACCAAGGCGACGAUGCGUAGCCGACCUGAGAGGGUGAUCGGCCACACUGGAACUGAGACACGGUCCAGACUCCUACGGGAGGCAGCAGUAGGGAAUCUUCCGCAAUGGGCGAAAGCCUGACGGAGCAACGCCGCGUGAGUGAUGAAGGUCUUCGGAUCGUAAAACUCUGUUAUUAGGGAAGAACAAAUGUGUAAGUAACUAUGCACGUCUUGACGGUACCUAAUCAGAAAGCCACGGCUAACUACGUG